RNAcentral lists this ribosomal RNA (253 nucleotides) under uncultured bacterium. RNAcentral describes it as "partial 16S ribosomal RNA". It matches the Rfam family "Bacterial small subunit ribosomal RNA", at positions 524 to 776 of the family's 1533-position model. The record is from RNAcentral.
UACGAAGGGGGCUAGCGUUGUUCGGAUUUACUGGGCGUAAAGCGCAUGUAGGCGGGGCGGUAAGUUGGGGGUGAAAUCCCGAGGCUCAACCUCGGAACUGCCUUCAAAACUGGCGACCUGGAGCAAGAUAGAGGCAAGUGGAAUUGCGAGUGUAGAGGUGAAAUUCGUAGAUAUUCGCAGGAACACCAGUGGCGAAGGCGACUUGCUGGAUCUUUGCUGACGCUGUGAUGCGAAAGCGUGGGGAGCAAACAGG